UCAUUCAGAUGUUAUCUCAAAAAUCUGACAAGAUAAAAGUGUCGUUGAGCCAGUAAACGGUUUUUACAGUUUCACAUAUUUUACCAGAGAACUGACCGAUUUCAUUUCUUUCUGAUGCAGAAACUUGGCUCUGCACACCAGCCGACCAGCAGACUGAUGAAAUGACCAACAAGGAACCAAGCAGCAUAAUGUGCUCCAUACAGCUGACUUCCACAAACGGGGCCCUGUGUAUCAUCAAUCCUCUCUACCUUCGUGAACAUGGAGACGAUUGGCUGACCCACAGAGCAAAUGUCACACAGUCCACUAUUUCGCCCUUAAAUAAAGGCCGAGAGCGGCGCCUCAGCAGCACCCGAGUAUGGCCAGGAGCAGGAUUACACAGUAAACGAGCCAUCUCAUUGGACCAGGAACUCUCUGCAGCCAGUACAGAGAGCUCAGGUCAGAACCUGCUAUCUUCAUGCAUGAAUUCUGAUUUUAUGUAGUUUAGUGUUAUACCCAGGAAGCAAGGGCAACCAGCUAGCCUGGCUCUAUCUAGUACAUCUAAAGCGUAUUAAUUCACAGGUUAUAUCUCAUCGGCUUAAACAGAAGAGAUAUAAUGUGUUAAUUAGUCUCAUUUAGAAAUACCUGAAGGCUUUUAGCUGUUUCCAUAUGCUUCCAUUCUUUAUGUAAAGCUAAGUUAACCAUUCCCUGCCUCUAGCUUCAUUUUUGGCAUAAAGACAUUUAUGUUAAUUAUCUGCUCAUCUGACUCUGAGAAAAUCUCUGAAUUGCUUCACAACAAAGCGUUUUUUUAAGAAUUCAAUCAUAAAUAGUUUAGAUAUCAUGAAGUAUAGUUCAUUAAACAGAAACGUCAUGGCCAGGUCCAUUAGUAAGCAGGUAGAAAAUUGGGUGAAUUGACCCUUUAGACACAGAAUCAUGUUUAACUGAUGGGAACAACGUGGGGGAUCGGCUUUAUUAGGUUUCUGUUCUCAACAAUAUAUGAAAGGUGUUUUUAUUAGUUCAGCUGAAGUCACUGAAACAUAGUGUCCAUAUUCCAUGUGUCCUUUUCUAGGUCUAAGCUAAUGUUAAUCAGCAAAGCAGCAGUGUUUCUAUAUGGUACAGGUCUUAGGGUUCAGGCACUGACAACAGGUGUCCUGUGUUCUCCCCGUUUCUAGGUCUAACCAGAGCCAAGUCGGCCGAUUCACCGCACUGCCCUUCAAACCCCUCAGAUGCUUCAGCAGGGGUCAUCCUCAGGAGGCCCAGCCGUGACAUCGUCAGCAGCCCCCCAUACAGAGCCAGCACAGGGAGCAUUCCUUCAUCUAUUUGCUCCACCCCACGAAGUUUAUGUAGUUCAGCGUUCGAACUGCAGUACCACGGCAGCCCCGUCCCUCAGUCUCCUCACAGGGUAUCUUGGAUCGAAGAUGGUGUCUGGCUACCUCCACCCAGGCCUUCCUCCUUGCUCCAUCCGCCCUCUCUUGAACUUGACUCACUGUCAAUCAGCAGCAUAG
RNAcentral lists this long non-coding RNA (1481 nucleotides) under Mastacembelus armatus (zig-zag eel). Its description in RNAcentral is "lncRNA (ENSMAMG00000027654.1)". The record is from RNAcentral. Lineage: Eukaryota; Metazoa; Chordata; Actinopteri; Synbranchiformes; Mastacembelidae.